AACGAACGCUGGCGGCAGGCUCAACACAUGCAAGUCGAACGCCCCGCAAGGGGAGUGGCAGACGGGUGAGUAACGCGUGGGAAUCUACCGUACCCUACGGAAUAGCUCCGGGAAACUGGAAUUAAUACCGUAUACGCCCUACGGGGGAAAGAUUUAUCGGGGUAUGAUGAGACCGCGUUGGAUUAGCUAGUUGGUGGGGUAAAGGCCUACCAAGGCGACGAUCCAUAGCUGGUCUGAGAGGAUGAUCAGCCACAUUGGGACUGAGACACGGCCCAAACUCCUACGGGAGGCAGCAGUGGGGAAUAUUGGACAAUGGGCGCAAGCCUGAUCCAGCCAUGCCGCGUGAGUGAUGAAGGUCUUAGGAUUGUAAAGCUCUUUCACCGAUGAAGAUAAUGACGGUAGUCGGAGAAGAAGCCCCGGCUAACUUCGUGCCAGCCGCCGCCGUAA
Molecule: ribosomal RNA, 447 nt
Filed under: uncultured bacterium
Lineage: Bacteria
Description: partial 16S ribosomal RNA
Rfam family: Bacterial small subunit ribosomal RNA
Source: RNAcentral